This 253-nucleotide ribosomal RNA is filed under the name uncultured bacterium. RNAcentral's name for it is "partial 16S ribosomal RNA". It matches the Rfam family "Bacterial small subunit ribosomal RNA", at positions 524 to 776 of the family's 1533-position model. The record is from RNAcentral.
UACGAAGGUCCCGAGCGUUAUCCGGAUUUAUUGGGUUUAAAGGGUGCGUAGGCGGGUUAUUAAGUCAGUGGUGAAAGCCUACAGCUUAACUGUAGAAUUGCCAUUGAUACUGAUGAUCUUGAGUAUGAUUGAGGUGGGCGGAAUGUGUCAUGUAGCGGUGAAAUGCUUAGAUAUGACACAGAACACCGAUUGCGAAGGCAGCUCACUAAGUCAUAACUGACGCUGAUGCACGAAGGCGUGGGGAGCAAACAGG